AGUGGGGAAUUUUGGACAAUGGGGGCAACCCUGAUCCAGCGACGCCGCGUGGAGGACGAAGGUCUUCGGAUUGUAAACUCCUUUUGGAGGGGAUGAAUGCCUACGUGAAUAACGUAGGGUGACAGUACCCUCGGAAUAAGCCACGGCUAACUUCGUGCCAGCAGCCGCGGUAAUACGAAGGUGGCAAGCGUUACUCGGAAUUACUAGGCGUAAAGCGCAGGUAGGCGGUUCGGUAAGUCUUUUGUGAAAGCUCCCGGCUUAACUGGGAGAGGCCAAGGGAAACUACCGGACUCGAGUGUGGUAGAGGAUGCUGGAAUUCCCGGUGUAGCGGUGAAAUGCGUAGAGAUCGGGAGGAAUACCAAUGGCGAAAGCAGGCAUCUGGGCCAUCACUGACGCUGAGCUGCGAAAGCUAGGGGAGCAAACAGGAUUAGAUACCCUGGUAGUCCUAGCCCUAAACGAUGCUCAUUAGAUGUGGGGGGUAUCGACCCCUUCCGCGUCGAAGCUAACGCAUUAAAUGAGCCGCCUGGGGAGUACGGCCGCAAGGUUGAAACU
Molecule: ribosomal RNA, 552 nt
Filed under: uncultured bacterium
Lineage: Bacteria
Description: bacterial SSU rRNA
Rfam family: Bacterial small subunit ribosomal RNA
Source: RNAcentral